RNAcentral lists this ribosomal RNA (492 nucleotides) under uncultured bacterium. RNAcentral describes it as "partial 16S ribosomal RNA". It matches the Rfam family "Bacterial small subunit ribosomal RNA", at positions 29 to 507 of the family's 1533-position model. The record is from RNAcentral.
AGUGAACGCUGGCGGCAUGCCUUACACAUGCAAGUCGAACGGCAGCAUAGUAAAGCCUUCUUGUUUCAGGUGGCGUGUCGAGGGGGUGAGUGGUAUACCUCAGAAUGUACUUUUGUGUGGGGGAUAUAGUAGGGAGACUAACGCUUAUACCACAUACGCUCUAGGUGUGAAAGCGGGGGAGCUUCGCAUCUUGCUCUAUUGGAUGACCAGAUGUCGGAUUAGCUAGUUGGCGGGGUAAAGGCCCACCAAGGCGACGAUCAGUAGCUGGUCUGAGAGGAUGAUCAGCCACACUGGAACUGAGACACGGCCCAGACUCCUACGGGAGGCAGCAGUGGGGAAUUUUGGACAAUGGGCGAAAGCCUGAUCCAGCAAUGCCGCGUGGGUGAAGAAGGCCUUCGGGUUGUAAAGCCCUUUUGUUGGGAAAGAAAAGCAGCAGGUUAAUACCCCGCUUUUCUGACGGUACCCAAAGAAUAAGCACCGGCUAACUUCGUG